Homo sapiens (human) is the source of this 1066-nucleotide long non-coding RNA. Ensembl annotates it as long intergenic non-protein coding RNA 2682. The record is from Ensembl. NCBI's taxonomy places the organism in Eukaryota, Metazoa, Chordata, Mammalia, Primates, Hominidae.
UGUUGGUGAAGCGCCGGGGCUGCUAAUGCUCCCUCCCCUCUUCCUCUUUGGCUCUCUCUCUCUCUUUUUCCAGACACCUUAAGGAAUUCAACAACCCCUCCCCUGCACACAGGCUUCUUCCAGCCAGAUGCCAUGUUGCAAGAUUUCCUCUGGAGAGGGCCUCUUGGCAAGGAACUGAUGUCUCUGGCCAGCAGCCAGCGAGGACCUAAGAUCUGUCAACAGCCAUGCUUAUGGCUGGUCUAGCAGAGCCAGGUGCCAGGCCUGGCGGGAGCAUCCUUGUCUCUUAACUGACAGUGCCUCCACCUGGCCUUGCAGCUCCACUCGACAAAUACUAAAUAACAGGCUCUGGCAUCUCCUGAAGCUCUGCACUCAUUAACACACUGGGAGGAAGGUAGAAGUUCCAUGGCUUUGGGCCCAGAUGAGAGAAGACCCUGAGUUGAGUGGAAGCAGCAGUGCCCCUCCUUGGCCCCUGCCUGGAGAUGGAGGCCACUAGGACCUGGAGAAGGAGGUAAUAGACCCACGCAGAGUGACUGGCCACUUGGAUGUCUGAGUUAAAAGGAAAUAGGUUGUCAGAGCUUGAAGGCAAAUUAUCGGUCUUCUUCCUCUUUAUUCCUCCAGCACCCAGCUGGGAGCAGAAGGGACAAUGAAUUGUGACUCGGAAAUUAAUCAGAUGAGACCUGAUGACUGAAGUACAUCACAGAGCUAGGAAGAGAGAUUACUAAGCAACACGCCCUUUUUUUCAGACAUCUCAGUUGACAACCUGAGCAAUAGCUCUGACCUGGAAGCAUCCAGCUUUGUAGCCAAAGAGAAAAAGCGCAGACCUUUGUCCCAGAAUUCUCAUCAAAAGUGUCUUUCAUCUCAUUGGCCCUGUGACCAUCUGAUCCAAGCCUGCAAUCUGACCCUUCCCUCAAUGUUGACCUCAUCCAGGAAGUGCCUCUCUCCCUUCAGGAAGACCCACAUCUGAAUCACCUCAGCAUCCAGGAUCCUGCCUUGUCCCCAGCCCUCACGGUCCAAAUGCCCUGGCAGAUCUGUCCUGACCUGUUCCUAUUAAAGGGGCUCAGUUAAA